Molecule: long non-coding RNA, 295 nt
Filed under: Capsicum annuum
Lineage: Eukaryota; Viridiplantae; Streptophyta; Magnoliopsida; Solanales; Solanaceae
Description: long non-coding RNA (CANN_LNC011720)
Source: RNAcentral
UCGACGGAGCCUCUACCAUUCCAACCCAUGGGCUAGUAUGCUCAGUCGGGGGAGAGCUCUAACAUACCAGCUCAAUUCAACUUUGCAUCUUCAAACCAGGUACAACUCAUCCUAAGAAUGCCUUUCUCCCUCCCCUCAAUUAUCCUGAAUCUCUAGGAGAACAUAGAUUUAUAAGAAGUAAAGGACGCCCUAGAGUUAAUGUAAGAGACGAGAAUGGAGAUUUGCGUCCUAAAUAAAAUAAAAGUGCUAGUGUUCAAGGAGCGAUUCAUACAAAAAUCCAUACUUAUUUGUCCAC